This 3678-nucleotide long non-coding RNA is filed under the name Spirodela polyrhiza (greater duckweed). RNAcentral describes it as "long non-coding RNA (SPOL_LNC002421)". The record is from RNAcentral. Lineage: Eukaryota; Viridiplantae; Streptophyta; Magnoliopsida; Alismatales; Araceae.
AUGCAAACAGUGCAAGUUGAUAAAGAUAUCCAAGUCCGUGUGCAUUAUGCUGUCCAUGUUCGUUUCUGAACUAUCCUAUUUCUUCCUCUUCCUUUUAGGAAAUGCAAACUUUCGGAUGCAAGUUUAUGGUUGAUGUAAUUUGAUGCUCUCUUUAAAGUUCUGCCCAAAUUUUAGCAUUUUCAUCGUUCUUAAUUUUGGAAGUAUCAAACAGAUUUUUCUUUGGGUGUGUGUGGUUCCUCCGUCUUGAGGAUACUUAUAAAUUAACUCACUGCUCUGAAGAAGAUAAUUCAUUGACCACCCGUGAUCAUCCAAUUUACUUGGCUUGUGUGGUUUUCAGCAACAGUACCGCUAUUAGCAUCCUCAGCGUCAUCAGCAGGUCUCAUCUUCUGGAUCAACAAAGAGUUGACUGUGGUAGCCUGUUCGAAAAUACUAAUGUUUCUUGUGGUUGUUGGUGAUACUGGAGGGAAAUUCUGUCUUGGAAACCGUACACUGGGUGUGAAUCUUCUAGCUGCACUUUCUUUGCCUUUAAAAAAAAAAUCCAAGUGGUUUUUUCCUCAUAGAGGAGAAGGGUUGAGGUUUACAGAGUAUGUUAUUUGAACGAAUUUGAACGCUCAGUUAUAACUUCUAUCAAAAUUUAUCUCCCUGAAACUUUUCAUUGAAUAGCUCUUUUCUCUUAUUUGAUUGCUUGAAGCACUAUGCUAUCGUGUCAAACCUCAACUCCGGGGUACCUAGGUAAAAACAGAUGUUGUUUGAUGAAUCGUUAACAAGAUUGCUGAAGCAGCUUGCACCAUAUCACACUUUCCACUGGAAUGAAUCCCUACCUCGCUAGUUUGCAUUAAAUGCACUCAAUUGGGGAACAUAAAAGGUUUUCUUCUUCUUGAGAAAGACACAAAGAGUUUGUGCGUAUGGAAAAUAAAAGACAUUAAGAGGUGUUAAUCUAGAACAGUGAGCUUGGAGCCAGCAUCUAAUGAUUGUGCUACUUAGAUGCAUAAAUUCAGAGGUGUAGAGGUAAGUUCAUGCUGUUCUGCUCAAUGCUUAUUGUCAAGGAGAAUAUUAGAUCUUGAGGGAGCCUUCUUAGUAGAUGGAAUGGAAUGAGAGUUGAGAUGCUAACUAUUUUCGGGGUGUUAUUUCUAUCCUAAAAAAGGCUCAUCUUUACUGGAAAAUUGUUGGUGGCUGGCUCACCUUGCCUGCACAGCCACAAACUAGGUUUUCAAACAGUCUUUGUGAAGUCUCAAAAUACGAGUUUAGCUCCCCUUCCAUGAUUCUGAUACGAUCCUUGCUAUGUGUGAAAAGAAAUGAGAGUGUUCAAUUGUAUUGGGAUACACUUUUCAGAUCAGAAUCUCCAAAUCUGAGGAUUGUGAAAUAGAGAAGAAGAAGAAUGAGCAGGAAAAGAAAAAACAAUGAGCAGAUGAGGAUACUCCCACUUCCGCCUUGCAGAAUGCAGCACAGGCCUCCUGCAGACGAUCUCCUUGUUCCCCUCCCCCCCCCCCCUCCUCCUCCUGAGUGAGAGACCUUAUUUAUAGUCUCUAGUAAUAAGGGAGGUGAAGUUACCUCCCUAAUCAGUUAUCUAGUUCUUGAACUGACUGUUUUUCUCUUUUUUUUUCCUUCUAACAUAUAUGACUAAGGGAACUGUAUCAGAUUCUUACGUAGGCUGAUUUGGGACCACUGUCAAAAUUUCUAAUAUAGAAUACCUAAACUAAUAAUUUGUGAGAAAAGUCAACAAUUGACUCCUAAAUUCAAAAAUCAAACCUGUCUUGUUCUCCUUGUCAGAAAGCUACAAUCAUGCUGCUCCCAUGAAGGUGAUAUUCUCGAAGGCCACUGGGCCUUAUAGUCACAAGGGUAAAUGGGUCCAGGUCCAGUGUACGACCCCACCUACUUAAGGGGGGAAUUGGGGAGGUUAGGGCAUCUUUUGGCUAAGUUGGACUUGUGGAGAGUUGAGGGCUCUCGAACUCCCUCUUGGCAGCUAGGGUUUCCUGGUCGCCAUCAUUCUCUUAUUCCCCAUUCUCUCUCACCCUAUCUCUCUAUUCCUCUCCUUGCCGUUGUGAAGAUUUAGGGCCCUAUAUAUUCCCUUGGGGAUGCUGCAGUAAGGCUGCAUGGUGAGCACUAAUCAAUUCUAUUAGGCUGGGUUAAUGUCAACCAUGUUGUAUAUGGAUAAGUGUACCAUGGAUGUACCAAGGAGCCUUUUAUUGCUGAUUCAUUCAAGGAUUUGACACUAUUUAGCCACAAUAGCCAAUUUCACAAAAGGGAGAAAUUCUGAUGUACAUUGGGAGCUGCUAGGGUAGUCAAGAAAACUAAGACAAGAAUGAUCGGAUCCCCUGUACUUUGACUUCAGAUAUUUUUUACAGUUUCUAAAGCAUGUUGAGAUGCUUUGGGGCUGGGGAUUCGAGGUGGUUUAAGCCAAAAGGAUCAAUCCAUUGUAUUCUUUAGUGAAAAGCUAAAUGGUGUCAAGAUAGAAUUCCUCAUCCAUGACAAAGGAUUGGAUUCCAUGGUCCUAGGCCUGUCUUAUUGGAGGCAUUAUUUCUUGCCAUAAGAAUCUCUGUUGUAUUCCGACCACAAUGAACUAUUUUUUGAUCGUUCUCAUGAAAAUUGAACCUUUCUAGAGUAUUGAGUGUCUGAUGCCUUUUUUAGAGUAAGUUUAGUCUAUUGUUUGUUGGAACCAUGGUUUACUGAUGAUAAGAAUUAAAAGUUUAAUUGGCUUUUAUUAAAAAUCUCUGAAAAUACUUUAUUGAUUGUAAAUUAAAUGUUUUAAUUGGUAGACUUUAAAUAGUAUAAUUCUGUGUAAAGUUUAAAAAUCUUAUCGCCUGAUUUCAGGAUGGCUAGUUUAUACUGCACACUAGUUGGAAUGAUGAUCCUAAUACCGAAUUCAGGAUGUCUUUUAUAGAUUGCGGAUUAAAAAUUUUAAUUCUUAAACUAGUUUGCUAAAUUUGGUUAGAUUUCUUAGGUGGGGCAUUGGAGUGCUUUAUUCACUCUGUACAACACUAGUUGCAAGAUUGAUUCGAACAUUGAAUUCUAGAAUAGUUUUAUUGAUCGUGUAUUUAAAUUUUAAAUAUUAUAUCAGUUGUCUGAAGUCGAUUACACUGUUCAGUUGGCAAACUUUACACAAUUUGAUAUAUUGUUCAUAGUAUUCUAAACAGUAUAUAUGUGCGCACAGUUCCCUUCAGCCCAUCAGAAUUUAAGCAUCUUAAUUUAUAAUUUACAGUACAGAAGUAAUAAGAUAUUUUUUGACAAAUCUAGCAAUCAUAGUCAUGGUAAAUUAAGGUUUAGUAGUUUAACUGAUAAAUGAUCCCGUGCAUGAAAGAGCAACUGAAAAUUUAACAUCUGAUCACUCAAUAAAUUUUAGAUGUAAAUUUUGGUGCCAAGUUUGAGCAUACACUCAUUGAAAGCUGUUUAAAUGGUGAAGACAUUGCAAACAAAGUCAAAAAAUUCAAUUUGAUGUAAGAUGAUUUUAUACAAUCAAUGAAUUUUUUUCGUAAGUCAUACUUUGCAUAUUGCUAUGACAACUAACGUUCUGAUUUCUAGAUAUUAAUAGCCAUUGUGAAUGACUAUCAGAUGCGCCGAAAGUCACUCUGUAAAAUGAGGACUUGGCCUCACACCAAAUGUGGAGAGGGUGUGCCACAACACUCACAUUGAUCCUUCAGUCCUUCCUGAGGAGUUUGCUAGUAUUUAUGAGAGUCUGGA